GAACGAACGCUGGCGGCGUGCCUAACACAUGCAAGUCGAGCGCGAAAAAGGGAGCAAUCUCUUGAGUAGAGCGGCGCACGGGUGAGUAACACGUGGGUAAUCUACCUUCGGAUUUGGAAUAACCCAGGGAAACUUGGGCUAAUACCGGAUAAGACCACGGUUCUAACAGUAACGUGGUAAAAGCGGAGGACCUCUUCGGAGGCUUCGCGUCUGAAGAUGAGCCCGCGGCCCAUCACGGUAGUUGGCGGGGUAACGGCCCACCAAGCCUUAGACGGGUAGCUGGUCUGAGAGGAUGAUCAGCCACACUGGAACUGAGACACGGUCCAGACUCCUACGGGAGGCAGCAGUGGGGAAUUUUGCGCAAUGGGCGCAAGCCUGACGCAGCAACGCCGCGUGAGUGAUGAAGGUCUUCGGAUCGUAAAGCUCUGUCGGUGGGAACGAUGCUUUCGCUAGCUAAUAUCUAGCGGAAUCGACGGUACCUGCAAAGGAAGCACCGGCUAACUCUGUGCCAGCAGCCGCGGUAA
RNAcentral lists this ribosomal RNA (524 nucleotides) under uncultured delta proteobacterium. RNAcentral describes it as "bacterial SSU rRNA". It matches the Rfam family "Bacterial small subunit ribosomal RNA", at positions 27 to 523 of the family's 1533-position model. Lineage: Bacteria; Deltaproteobacteria. The record is from RNAcentral.